This 648-nucleotide ribosomal RNA is filed under the name uncultured bacterium. Its description in RNAcentral is "bacterial SSU rRNA". It matches the Rfam family "Bacterial small subunit ribosomal RNA", at positions 8 to 629 of the family's 1533-position model. The record is from RNAcentral.
AGAGUUUGAUCCUGGCUCAGAACGAACGCUGGCGGCGUGCUUAACACAUGCAAGUCGUACGAGAAACCGGAACUUCGGUUCCGGGAGUAAAGUGGCGCACGGGUGAGUAACGCGUAGGUAAUCUACCCUUGGGUUUGGAAUAACCCGCCGAAAGGCGGACUAAUACCGGAUAAAAUUUUUCAGAGGGAUCUGAAAGAUCAAAGGUGGCCUCUCCAUGGAUGCUACUGCCUGAGGAUGAGCCUGCGUCCCAUUAGCUUGUUGGUAGGGUAAUGGCCUACCAAGGCUACGAUGGGUAGCUGGUCUGAGAGGAUGACCAGCCACACUGGAACUGGAACACGGUCCAGACUCCUACGGGAGGCAGCAGUGAGGAAUAUUGCGCAAUGGGGGAAACCCUGACGCAGCGACGCCGCGUGGGUGAAGAAGGCCUUCGGGUCGUAAAGCCCUGUCUAGAGGGAAGAAAUUCUCAAUGGAAUAAUACCCAUUGAGAUUGACGGUACCUCUGGAGGAAGCACCGGCUAACUCCGUGCCAGCAGCCGCGGUAAUACGGAGGGUGCGAGCGUUGUUCGGAAUUACUGGGCGUAAAGCGGGUGUAGGCGGUUUGUUAAGUCAGAUGUGAAAGCCCACGGCUCAACCGUGGAAGUGCAUCUG